This 494-nucleotide long non-coding RNA is filed under the name Marmota monax (woodchuck). The record is from RNAcentral. Lineage: Eukaryota; Metazoa; Chordata; Mammalia; Rodentia; Sciuridae.
CUGAGGUACUCCUAGGUCUUAAAAGAAAGCAUCUUGGAUAUAGAUGAAAAGACUAUCAGUAGUAUUGAAACCUGGGCUCAGAAACCUCCAAAGUCAUCUCUGGCAUUUGUUGUCAAAGCCUGUUACAAGGCCAGUCCUGACUCAAGUGGAGAGGGGGUAAGUGUUUGCACAGAGGGGUUGUGGGGCUGCUGGAGCCUCUUUGCAACCUACCUACCCACCCCAGAGAGAGAUCCUCGGGAUUGGAUGUCUUUGCAUGUGUAUAAAAGCUGAGCUGAACCUUGAAUUGAAACAGCCCUCAAAGUUCCAAAUUAAAUUAUCACUCAUCUCGCUGUCAAAAGAAAGAGGCUCCUUUGAGCCUUGACUAGACCCUGCUUGGGUAGAGAGAGGGUAGGAAGAAGUGAGAGAAGAAUUUAAUCCACCAGAGGCUGGUGUUCCUGGGUAGACUUGGGCGUUAAGGCCUUAAGGGCAUUCCAUGGGGAUCAAGAGGAUUCGAG